This 207-nucleotide ribosomal RNA is filed under the name uncultured delta proteobacterium. Its description in RNAcentral is "partial 16S ribosomal RNA". It matches the Rfam family "Bacterial small subunit ribosomal RNA", at positions 568 to 774 of the family's 1533-position model. The record is from RNAcentral. Lineage: Bacteria; Deltaproteobacteria.
CGUGUAGGCGGCUGAAUAAGUCAGAUGUGAAAUCCCUGGGCUCAACCCAGGAAGUGCAUUUGAAACUGUUCGGCUAGAGUAGGGGAGAGGGAAGUGGAAUUCCUGGUGUAGAGGUGAAAUUCGUAGAUAUCAGGAGGAACACCGGUGGCGAAGGCGACUUCCUGGCCCUAUACUGACGCUGAGACGCGAGAGCGUGGGGAGCAAACA